GUGGGGAAUAUUGGACAAUGGGCGAAAGCCUGAUCCAGCAAUGCCGCGUGAGUGAAGAAGGUCUUCGGAUUGUAAAGCUCUUUCGACGGGGACGAUGAUGACGGUACCCGUAGAAGAAGCCCCGGCUAACUUCGUGCCAGCAGCCGCGGUAAUACGAAGGGGGCUAGCGUUGCUCGGAAUGACUGGGCGUAAAGGGCGCGUAGGCGGUUCGUACAGUCAGACGUGAAAUUCCCGGGCUCAACCUGGGGGCUGCGUUUGAUACGUGCGGGCUUGAGUUCGGAAGAGGGUCGUGGAAUUCCCAGUGUAGAGGUGAAAUUCGUAGAUAUUGGGAAGAACACCGGUGGCGAAGGCGGCGACCUGGUCCGAUACUGACGCUGAGGCGCGAAAGCGUGGGGAGCAAACAGG
This 405-nucleotide ribosomal RNA is filed under the name uncultured Acetobacteraceae bacterium. Its description in RNAcentral is "bacterial SSU rRNA". It matches the Rfam family "Bacterial small subunit ribosomal RNA", at positions 354 to 776 of the family's 1533-position model. Lineage: Bacteria; Pseudomonadati; Pseudomonadota; Alphaproteobacteria; Acetobacterales; Acetobacteraceae. The record is from RNAcentral.